ACCUUUACUUGUAAUGCUUGCUAUAGACAGCAUUCGACCUUUAGGUAUUACUGUAGGACAUGUGUUUUUAGUCUGGAUAUUGAAUGCGCCCUGAUUCCUACACUAAAUACUGAAAGUGAAAAGGAUCAAAUUCAACAUUUCAGUCAUUGGCACCCUUUGACCCUCUAUGAACAGUUGAAAGAUUUUGAAACUUGCUGUGGAAUAUGUGGGAAGUUCUGUUUGAGUUCCAUCUAUGGUUGCAGCCAAUGUAAAUUCUACCUCCAUAAAUCUUGCAUGGAAGCUUUACAUAGAAAGAUUCAACACUUAUUUCAUGAAUGCCCACUUGUUCUACUCACAACGCCAUCUUAUAAAUGUGAUGGCUGUGGCAAGGAUUGCUCGGGC
RNAcentral lists this unclassified non-coding RNA (381 nucleotides) under Hevea brasiliensis (rubber tree). The record is from RNAcentral. Lineage: Eukaryota; Viridiplantae; Streptophyta; Magnoliopsida; Malpighiales; Euphorbiaceae.